GAUGAACGCUAGCGAUAGGCUUAACACAUGCAAGUCGAGGGGCAGCAUGGUCUUAGCUUGCUAAGACUGAUGGCGACCGGCGCACGGGUGCGUAACGCGUAUGCAACUUGCCUCACAGAGGGGGAUAACCCGUCGAAAGACGGACUAAUACCGCGUACACUCCAUCUUGGGCAUCCAGGGUAGAGGAAAUGAAAUUCGCUGUGAGAUAGGCAUGCGUCCCAUUAGCUAGUUGGUGAGGUAACGGCUCACCAAGGCGACGAUGGGUAGGGGAACUGAGAGGUUGAACCCCCACACUGGUACUGAGACACGGACCAGACUCCUACGGGAGGCAGCAGUGAGGAAUAUUGGUCAAUGGGCGAGAGCCUGAACCAGCCAAGUCGCGUGAAGGAUGACUGUCUUAUGGAUUGUAAACUUCUUUUAGACGGGAAUAACAAGAGUCACGUGUGACUCCCUGCAUGUACCGUAUGAAUAAGCAUCGGCUAACUCCGUG
This 490-nucleotide ribosomal RNA is filed under the name uncultured bacterium. Its description in RNAcentral is "partial 16S ribosomal RNA". It matches the Rfam family "Bacterial small subunit ribosomal RNA", at positions 28 to 507 of the family's 1533-position model. The record is from RNAcentral.